GUAACAAGGUCUCCGUUGGUGAACCAGCGGAGGGAUCAUUACCGAGUUUACAACUCCCAAACCCCUGUGAACAUACCAAUUGUUGCCUCGGCGGAUCAGCCCGCUCCCGGUAAAACGGGACGGCCCGCCAGAGGACCCCUAAACUCUGUUUCUAUAUGUAACUUCUGAGUAAAACCAUAAAUAAAUCAAAACUUUCAACAACGGAUCUCUUGGUUCUGGCAUCGAUGAAGAACGCAGCAAAAUGCGAUAAGUAAUGUGAAUUGCAGAAUUCAGUGAAUCAUCGAAUCUUUGAACGCACAUUGCGCCCGCCAGUAUUCUGGCGGGCAUGCCUGUUCGAGCGUCAUUUCAACCCUCAAGCCCUCGGGUUUGGUGUUGGGGAUCGGCGAGCCCUUGCGGCAAGCCGGCCCCGAAAUCUAGUGGCGGUCUCGCUGCAGCUUCCAUUGCGUAGUAGUAAAACCCUCGCAACUGGUACGCGGCGCGGCCAAGCCGUUAAACCCCCAACUUCUGAAUGUUGACCUCGGAUCAGGUAGGAAUACCCGCUGAACUUAA
Molecule: ribosomal RNA, 549 nt
Filed under: fungal sp. ARIZ L454
Lineage: Eukaryota; Fungi
Description: eukaryotic LSU rRNA
Rfam family: 5.8S ribosomal RNA (bases 190-343)
Source: RNAcentral